UUUGGAGUCUCAACAAUGCCCCAUAGGGGUGACAUAACAUUUAUUGAGUUUGGUUACAUAAGCAUCAUUAAAAUCAUGUACUCAAAGGGAUUAACAACAUACUAGGGUCAAGCACAACUAUAAACCUGAAUAGACAUCAUUGCAUUUCAUUUCUAUAUUAUACUUUUACAUUACAUCACAUUCAUGUCCAUAUCUAGCUAUUACAUACAACAUAAC
RNAcentral lists this long non-coding RNA (216 nucleotides) under Manihot esculenta (cassava). Its description in RNAcentral is "long non-coding RNA (MESC_LNC001772)". Lineage: Eukaryota; Viridiplantae; Streptophyta; Magnoliopsida; Malpighiales; Euphorbiaceae. The record is from RNAcentral.